AAAGCAGAGAUAGUGUGUAUCGACGCUGUGCGAAUCUGAUUCAAAUGCACUCUGAUCGAAAGUGUUCUCUGCAAAAUUGAAAUCACAGGGGAAAGAUGGGCAGUUGUCUCUCAAUCACCAAUUGAUUCGUCAACAAUCAUCUUCCCUACAUCU
Small nucleolar RNA from Salvia hispanica, 153 nucleotides. RefSeq annotates it as small nucleolar RNA snoR135. Lineage: Eukaryota; Viridiplantae; Streptophyta; Magnoliopsida; Lamiales; Lamiaceae. The record is from RefSeq and is a predicted model, not a curated record.